This 402-nucleotide ribosomal RNA is filed under the name bacterium. RNAcentral's name for it is "partial 16S ribosomal RNA". It matches the Rfam family "Bacterial small subunit ribosomal RNA", at positions 355 to 776 of the family's 1533-position model. The record is from RNAcentral.
UGGGGAAUUUUGCACAAUGGGGGAAACCCUGAUGCAGCGACGCCGCGUGAUUUAGAAGGCCUUCGGGUUGUAAAAAUCUUUUCUAUGGGAAGAUAAUGACAGUACCAUAGGAAUAAGGACCGGCUAAUUACGUGCCAGCAGCCGCGGUAAUACGUAAGGUCCGAGCGUUGUCCGGAAUCAUUGGGCGUAAAGGGUACGUAGGCGGGUAAGCAAGUUAGAAGUGAAAUCCUAUAGCUCAACUAUAGUAAGCUUUUAAAACUGCUCAUCUUGAGGUAUGGAAGGGAAAGUGGAAUUCCUAGUGUAGCGGUGAAAUGCGCAGAUAUUAGGAGGAAUACCGGUGGCGAAGGCGACUUUCUGGCCAUAACCUGACGCUGAGGUACGAAAGCGUGGGUAGCAAACAGG